This 68-nucleotide transfer RNA is filed under the name bovine gut metagenome. It matches the Rfam family "tRNA". From Rfam's summary of the family: Transfer RNA (tRNA) molecules are approximately 80 nucleotides in length. Their secondary structure includes four short double-helical elements and three loops (D, anti-codon, and T loops). The record is from RNAcentral.
CGGGUAUAGCUCAGUGGUAGAGCACAACCUUGCCAAGGUUGGGGUCGAGGGUUCGAAUCCCUUUGCCC